CGAAGUCUUCGGACUUAGUGGCGGACGGGUGAGUAACACGUUGGUACCUACCCCGAAGUGGGGAAUAACUGCCCGAAAGGGUGGCUAAUACCGCAUAAUCCCACAAGGGUAAAGCAGUAAUGCGCUUCGGGAGGGGCCUGCGUCCCAUUAGCUUGUUGGUAGUGUAAUGGACUACCAAGGCGACGAUGGGUAGCUGGAUCGAGAGGUUGACCAGCCACACUGGGACUGAGACACGGCCCAG
RNAcentral lists this ribosomal RNA (241 nucleotides) under uncultured bacterium. RNAcentral describes it as "partial 16S ribosomal RNA". It matches the Rfam family "Bacterial small subunit ribosomal RNA", at positions 67 to 334 of the family's 1533-position model. The record is from RNAcentral.